ACUGGGAAACGUCGUCGGCCGU
Molecule: microRNA, 22 nt
Filed under: Picea abies (Norway spruce)
Lineage: Eukaryota; Viridiplantae; Streptophyta; Pinopsida; Pinales; Pinaceae
Description: pab-miR11423a
Source: miRBase by way of RNAcentral